AAAUAGUCUCAGUUCGGAUUGAAGUCUGCAACUCGACUUCAUGAAGUUGGAAUCGCUAGUAAUCGCGAAUCAGCAUGUCGCGGUGAAUACGUUCUCGGGGUUUGUACACACCGCCCGUCAAACCACGAAAGUGGACAAUACCCGAAAGCGACAGCCUAACUGCGUAAGCAGAGGGAAUCGUCUAAGGUAGGGUCGAUGAUUGGGGUUAAGUCGUAACAAGGUAUCCCUACCGGAAGGUGGGGAUGGAUCACCUCCUUUCU
Molecule: ribosomal RNA, 260 nt
Filed under: Texas Phoenix palm phytoplasma
Lineage: Bacteria; Bacillati; Mycoplasmatota; Mollicutes; Acholeplasmatales; Acholeplasmataceae
Description: partial 16S ribosomal RNA
Rfam family: Bacterial small subunit ribosomal RNA
Source: RNAcentral